ACUCCUACGGGAGGCAGCAGUGGGGAAUCUUCCGCAAUGGGCGAAAGCCUGACGGAGCAACGCCGCGUGAAUGAAGAAGGCCUUCGGGUUGUAAAAUUCUGUCUUCAGGGAAGAAGAAAGUGACGGUACCUGAGGAGGAAGCCCCGGCUAACUACGUGCCAGCAGCCGCGGUAAAACGUAGGGGGCGAGCGUUGUCCGGAAUUACUGGGCGUAAAGGGCGCGUAGGCGGCUUACUAAGUCUUAUGGUGAAAACUAUCGGCUCAACCGGUAGCGUGCCUGAGAAACUGGUAGACUUGAGGGCAGGAGAGGGGAGUGGAAUUCCCAGUGUAGCGGUGAAAUGCGUAGAUAUUGGGAGGAACACCAGUGGCGAAGGCGGCUCUCUGGCCUGUUACUGACGCUGAGGCGCGAAAGCGUGGGGAGCGAACGGGAUUAGAUACCCCGGUAGUCCACGCCGUAAACGAUGGGUGCUAGGUGUAGGAGGUAUCGACCCCUUCUGUGCCGUAGUUAACACAAUAAGCACCCCGCCUGGGGAGUACGGCCGCAAGGUUGAAACUCAAAGGAAUUGACGGGGGCCCGCACAAGCGGUGGAGCAUGUGGUUUAAUUCGACGCAACGCGAAGAACCUUACCAGGGUUUGACAUCCUCUGACAGCCUAUGAAAGUAGGUUUUCUAUCUUCGGAUGGACAGGGAGACAGGUGGUGCAUGGUUGUCGUCAGCUCGUGUCGUGAGAUGUUGGGUUAAGUCCCGCAACGAGCGCAACCCCUACGUUUAGUUGCUAACGCGUGAAGGCGAGCACUCUAGAGGAACUGCCGUUGACAAAACGGAGGAAGGUGGGGAUGACGUCAAAUCAUCAUGCCCCUUAUGUCCUGGGCUACACACGUGCUACAAUGGCCGGUACAAAGGGAAGCGAAGUCGCGAGGCGGAGCAAAUCCCAAAAAGCCGGUCUCAGUUCGGAUUGCAGGCUGCAAUUCGCCUGCAUGAAGUCGGAAUCGCUAGUAAUCGCAGGUCAGCAUACUGCGGUGAAUACGUUCCCGGGCCUUGUACACACCGCCCGUCACACCACGAAAGCUGACAACACCCGAAGCCGGUGACUUAACCUUUAUAGGAGAGAGCCGUCGAAGGUGGGGUUGGUGAUUGGGGUGAAGUCGUAACAAGGUAACC
RNAcentral lists this ribosomal RNA (1160 nucleotides) under uncultured bacterium. RNAcentral's name for it is "bacterial SSU rRNA". It matches the Rfam family "Bacterial small subunit ribosomal RNA", at positions 335 to 1501 of the family's 1533-position model. The record is from RNAcentral.